This 253-nucleotide ribosomal RNA is filed under the name uncultured bacterium. RNAcentral's name for it is "partial 16S ribosomal RNA". It matches the Rfam family "Bacterial small subunit ribosomal RNA", at positions 524 to 776 of the family's 1533-position model. RNAcentral also lists the same sequence under 2 other names. The record is from RNAcentral.
UACGGAGGAUCCGAGCGUUAUCCGGAUUUAUUGGGUUUAAAGGGAGCGUAGGCGGGUACUUAAGUCAGUUGUGAAAGUUUACGGCUCAACCGUGAAAUUGCAGUUGAUACUGGGUGCCUUGAGUGCAGUAGAGGUAAGCGGAAUUCGUGGUGUAGCGGUGAAAUGCUUAGAUAUCACGAAGAACUCCAAUUGCGAAGGCAGCUUGCUGGACUGUAACUGACGCUGAUGCUCGAAAGUGUGGGUAUCAAACAGG